UUACAUCGUAUUCAACUGUUAGGGAUAGAUCCAUUAGAGAUAGGUACGUGGAUGCUUAUCCAAUUACAAGUGCUUUUAGCAUUUUUAAAGGUGUUUAAACUAGUCGAGGGCCUUCAAUCAAAGUAUUGGGAGUUGAUUCUGUUACAUUAUGUGCUUUGACACUAUUUGAUAAUUUCUAAUUCUUUGUGAAUUUUGGAAAACCCGUUGUUUGGAUUCAUGUAUCUGUAUUGGUAUCGUGAAUGAGGAUGAGUAUUUUUGUGUUGGAGAAAGUUUGGUUCUUGUUGAAAAGUUUGAACUUUUCAUUGCAGGCAAGUAUAUUUUUUUAGGUGGAGAAAUUUUGAAAUUUCGUUCAUUGCAUUGAAAUUUGCGUUAAGGUGGAGAUUGUUAGAUUUUAUUUUUUUUUUUAUCCAAAUUAGGUUGGAUUUUUUUGGAAAAAAAAUUGUUUCCUUUAUUACACGCUUUAUUAGAAAAAUAAUAUUUCCUUAUUCCAUGCGUUUAAAUUGAAAAAAAAUAUUAUUUCCUUUAUUCCACAUUAUUUUUUAUCUUAUUUCCAUCUUUGUGGUAUUUUUAGUGUUGGCCUGCACCCUAAUAAGUAUUAAACUCUUUUAACAAGUUUUGUAUUAUUGAAAUACAGAAUAAUUUUAUAGACAUAGUUAUUAUAUUUGUUUUCUCCAUAUUCGUCAAUUUAAUAAAAUACCCAAUUC
This 704-nucleotide long non-coding RNA is filed under the name Olea europaea (common olive). RNAcentral's name for it is "long non-coding RNA (OEUR_LNC000033)". The record is from RNAcentral. Lineage: Eukaryota; Viridiplantae; Streptophyta; Magnoliopsida; Lamiales; Oleaceae.